AACGGAAAAAGCAAAAAAGGAAAAAGACAGAAAAAAAGAAGAAGAAGCAUAUAUUCAAAUUCUUUCAUCUUUUAAUAUUUUGUUUUUCAAUUAAUCUUCUAUUUCUCUGUUACCUGCUUCAACCUAACCCUAGCUUUGUGGAUAGAGAAAAAAAAAAUUCACAUUUUCGGACCCUUCAGAUCUCUGUAUAAAACACAGUUAAAAUCUUUUUUCUGUUUUUUUUUUUUUUUUUUUGUACUUUGUUUAAGGUAAUUUGAAAAAUCUAGGGUUUUGAAGAAAGCUUUUUAUUUGGAAUAAAAGGUUGACUUAGUUAGGGUUUUCUUUAAUGGAGCCUCGUGUGGGUAAUAAGUUUCGACUUGGUCGCAAAAUUGGCAGUGGAUCGUUUGGUGAGAUCUAUCUUGGUACUAAUAUACAGUCUAAUGAGGAGGUUGCAAUUAAGCUGGAAACUGUUAAGACAAAGCAUCCACAGUUGCUAUAUGAAUCGAAGUUGUAUAGAAUUCUUCAGGGAGGAACUGGAAUUCCAAAUGUGAGGUGGUUUGGCGUGGAGGGAGAUUACAAUGUUCUGGUCAUGGAUUUACUAGGACCCAGUCUUGAAGAUUUAUUUAAUUUCUGCAGCAGGAAGCUUUCCCUGAAGACAGUUUUAAUGCUUGCUGAUCAAAUGAUUAAUCGUGUUGAAUUUGUUCAUUCUAAAUCAUUUUUGCAUCGAGAUAUCAAGCCAGACAAUUUUCUUAUGGGCUUGGGAAGGCGUGCAAAUCAGGUCCCAUAUUCUUAUGUUUACAUAAUUGACUUUGGUCUAGCCAAGAAGUAUCGAGAUACUUCAUCUCACCAACACAUUCCUUACCGAGAGAAUAAAAACUUGACAGGCACUGCAAGAUAUGCCAGCAUGAACACUCACCUCGGUAUCGAACAAAGCAGGAGGGAUGAUUUGGAGUCUCUUGGAUAUGUUCUUAUGUACUUCCUCCGAGGAAGUCUUCCUUGGCAAGGACUGAAAGCAGGAAAUAAGAAGCAGAAGUAUGAGAAAAUUAGUGAAAAGAAGGUUUCAACAUCUAUUGAGGCUUUAUGUCGAGGUUAUCCUACUGAAUUUGCAUCAUAUUUCCAUUACUGUCGUUCUCUCCGCUUCGAGGAUAAACCAGAUUAUGCUUAUCUGAAGAGAAUAUUCCGUGACCUCUUCAUCCGUGAAGGCUUUCAGUUUGAUUAUGUUUUUGAUUGGACUAUAUUGAAGUAUCAGCAAUCGCACGUUGCAGCUCCUCCUUCACGGCCUCUUGGCCCUGGUGCCGGAACCAGCUCAGGCAUGCCUCCAAUUGUUCCCAAUGCAGAAAGACAGACAGGUGAAGAAGAAGGAAGGCAAUCAGCAGAUCCUUCUCGGAGGAGAAGUUCUGGGCCACUUAUAAGUGCUGGAAGGCAGACGAGUCCUAUUGGAAAUGAUUCCAUGAGCAGGGAUGCUAUGUUUUCAAGCUCCACUUUUAUGGGAAGAUCUAGUGGGUCUUUGAGGCGAGAUCUAGUCUCUGGGAGCCGGGAGACUUUCACAAUGGGGAAUGACUCCGACCCUACACAUUCUCGCACACCUGAGGCAAGUCCAGCGACCAUGCACACGAUAUCAGGUGGACAUAGAAGCUCUCCACUUGGUGGAUCGUCUGAUCCUAGAUAUGCCUCAUCUGGCAGGAAUGCUUCUGGCAUAAGGAACUAUGAAUCCACGCUCAGAGGAAUUGAGACUCUACAUUUUGACGAUGAAGAGAGGGCUCAUUGAUUGCUGACCCUUUCACUUGUAAAUUCCUUUUACUUGUGUGGUAGACUUCAGAUUAGAAUUGAGACCCUGAAAGUUGAUAUUUGUUUGGAUUUGUGGGUUGGAAAUUAGUGAACUAUCAGUUAUUCAAGUUGGCAAAAGAUCUAUAGCAAAUAAAUAGAUCCAGAUGGUGCCAAUGCAGGAGAUGAGGUGCUGUUAAUACGAACUCCGACAUGGUGCAUGACUUUAUAAAUCUAGGCAAUGCAUGCAGCAUUGUCUAUAAUCAUUCAACUCUGUCCAACUGUUGGGGAUUAGUUAAACUGUACAUUGGCCGUUGUAAUACUAAAUUUCCCCAUAGUCUACAGUAUAUCGCGUAAUGAUCUGCCAAUUUCGAUGUAUUGAGGUUCCAGAAAGCAUGGUCCAGCUGGUUAUGCACAUUACGGAGAUAUUUUGCCUGUUGCCAACUAUUACUAAUCCUUGCAUUGCGUAACCGUAGUGAAAAUACUAUAUAUAAGUAAAAAGGAUAUUUCUCUUGUAACCGAGAAUAAAACCUUUAGUGGUAGUUGGGAAGAAAUAGCGAUGUAUUCUUCUUGUAGAGCAUCUGGGUCCCUUUGCUAGUGGGUUUUCUGUUUUAUUUAUUCAUCACAAAUCAUCACAUAGAAACUUAUAACGCUCACAAGUGUUAAAUGUAAGGAAGAAACAGAAAAGGGUUUCAACUAUGAGUAUUCUCAUUCCAUAUGUUUUCCUUUAUAAAUAAAGUAUACUCUUUUGUUAAUCUAAUAUAUGAGGUGUGUAGAAA
Lycium barbarum (goji berry) is the source of this 2522-nucleotide RNA transcript. It is a transcript of the gene named casein kinase 1-like protein 1, with no coding region annotated. The record is from RefSeq and is a predicted model, not a curated record. The transcript is spliced from 15 exons. Lineage: Eukaryota; Viridiplantae; Streptophyta; Magnoliopsida; Solanales; Solanaceae.